This 269-nucleotide long non-coding RNA is filed under the name Lathyrus oleraceus (garden pea). RNAcentral's name for it is "Pisum sativum (pea) long non-coding RNA (PSAT_LNC033209)". The record is from RNAcentral. Lineage: Eukaryota; Viridiplantae; Streptophyta; Magnoliopsida; Fabales; Fabaceae.
GAUACUCGUGCUUAUGUUUCAAUCCAACAGAAAGGGAUUAUAGUUGACUUAUUGUCAUGUGCAUAUUCAUUUUGUGUGUUUUUAGCUUCCUUUACCCACCUUGUGUCAUUUAGCCCCUUCUGAAACCUAGUUCAAUCUUAGGAUUUUUCAAACUUGAACUUCUUUCAUAAAAAAAUCUUGACUUUAAAAACACUUUAAGCAUAUCAAACUCUUUCUAUAUGACUAAAAAGCACAAAUCUCAUUCAAAACUUUUGCCACUUGGCUUUUCA